AAUUUGUAUAAAAAUUAAUAAAUUUUAACCUUUUAUAAAAUUGGAAAAUCUUUUUCAAUUUUACAGAUUCGGACCGAAUUUUUCGUAAUCGGAUAAAAAUAUGCUUAUUCCUUUUCUUUUUCUCUCUUCUUUGUUUUUUUUUUUGAUAAAAUUAUAAAAAAUAUAUCAUAGCUGACUUAUUGUGAUAUAUAUACGGAACGUAAUAUUACGUACGAAAAUAAAGAAGAUAUUUUUAUAUUGUAUUUUUUUUUAUCGUACAUAACGUAAUCUUUUCACAAUUCUAAACGAAACGUAAGGAAUCUUUCUUUCUCCACAAUCCCAAACGAAGAAAAUUUCAAACAAAGCGUAAGGAACGUAC
This 358-nucleotide long non-coding RNA is filed under the name Ananas comosus (pineapple). RNAcentral's name for it is "long non-coding RNA (ACOM_LNC016304)". Lineage: Eukaryota; Viridiplantae; Streptophyta; Magnoliopsida; Poales; Bromeliaceae. The record is from RNAcentral.